This 250-nucleotide ribosomal RNA is filed under the name uncultured bacterium. Its description in RNAcentral is "partial 16S ribosomal RNA". It matches the Rfam family "Bacterial small subunit ribosomal RNA", at positions 524 to 773 of the family's 1533-position model. The record is from RNAcentral.
UACGGAGGGAUCGAACGUUAAUCGGAAUUACUGGGCGUAAAGCGCGCGUAGGCGGUUCGAUAAGUGGGAUGUGAAAUCCCCGGGCUUAACCUGGGAACUGCAUUCCAAACUGUCGAACUAGAGUAUAGUAGAGGGAGGUAGAAUUUCUUGUGUAGCGGUGAAAUGCGUAGAUAUAAGAAGGAAUACCGAUGGCGAAGGCAGCCUCCUGGACUAAUACUGACGCUGAGGUGCGAAAGCGUGGGGAGCAAAC